GGGCCCAUAGCUCAGUCGGUUAGAGCAGCGGACUCAUAAUCCGUCGGUCGGUGGUUCGAGUCCACCCCGGCCCA
RNAcentral lists this transfer RNA (74 nucleotides) under Gemmatimonadota bacterium. Its description in RNAcentral is "tRNA-Ile". It matches the Rfam family "tRNA". Rfam says of the family: Transfer RNA (tRNA) molecules are approximately 80 nucleotides in length. Their secondary structure includes four short double-helical elements and three loops (D, anti-codon, and T loops). The record is from RNAcentral. Lineage: Bacteria; Pseudomonadati; Gemmatimonadota.